This 541-nucleotide ribosomal RNA is filed under the name Lasiodiplodia theobromae. RNAcentral describes it as "eukaryotic LSU rRNA". The stretch from base 159 to 312 matches the Rfam family "5.8S ribosomal RNA". The record is from RNAcentral. Lineage: Eukaryota; Fungi; Ascomycota; Dothideomycetes; Botryosphaeriales; Botryosphaeriaceae.
UUGGGUCAUUGAAAUUUAAACUUCCCAAAACCCCUGUGAACAUACCAAUUGUUGCCUCGGCGGAUCAGCCCGCUCCCGGUAAAACGGGACGGCCCGCCAGAGGACCCCUAAACUCUGUUUCUAUAUGUAACUUCUGAGUAAAACCAUAAAUAAAUCAAAACUUUCAACAACGGAUCUCUUGGUUCUGGCAUCGAUGAAGAACGCAGCAAAAUGCGAUAAGUAAUGUGAAUUGCAGAAUUCAGUGAAUCAUCGAAUCUUUGAACGCACAUUGCGCCCGCCAGUAUUCUGGCGGGCAUGCCUGUUCGAGCGUCAUUUCAACCCUCAAGCCCCCGGGUUUGGUGUUGGGGAUCGGCGAGCCCUUGCGGCAAGCCGGCCCCGAAAUCUAGUGGCGGUCUCGCUGCAGCUUCCAUUGCGUAGUAGUAAAACCCUCGCAACUGGUACGCGGCGCGGCCAAGCCGUUAAACCCCCAACUUCUGAAUGUUGACCUCGGAUCAGGUAGGAAUACCCGCUGAACUUAAGCAUAUCUAAAGCGGGGAGGAAA